Molecule: long non-coding RNA, 6764 nt
Filed under: Solanum tuberosum (potato)
Lineage: Eukaryota; Viridiplantae; Streptophyta; Magnoliopsida; Solanales; Solanaceae
Description: long non-coding RNA (STUB_LNC003085)
Source: RNAcentral
GCGUCUUUAAGGCUUCAAGAGGGGACUGCCUUCCUUGAUCAACACAAAAACACUGCCAGCAUCUCCUCUGGAGAUCCUAAGCUCAUCAUCCAAGUAUGUUGUCAGCAGCCAUGAUUGUGCAUUGUUGUUGGUAAUAGGAAACUUAAUUGGUGGUUGACUUGAAAUGGACUUGGCCACUGAGGAAGCUGUGUCUUGGACUGAAGUAAUCAAGCCUUUGAAGGGGCUUAGAUCAAUCUUUUGUCCCAAGAAUUCGACGUUCUCAGGCAAUACGAUGGAAUCUGUCAACUGGGGUGUUCCAAUUAUGCCUUCUUCAAAUUUAAUCUGAACCACACACAGAGUAUAACAUGAGACUAAAAUGAUGAUCAAGUACGAGGAACGAUGACAAGACUAGAAAAAUGUUAAAGAAGAUAACCACCUGGACACGUUUUGGACUUCUGACUUCGAAUUUGGCAUUGGUACUAAUGGAAGUUGUAGCUAAAGGUCCAGCAAAGACAACAGAGUUUUGGACAGUGAAACUCUCAGAAUCGAUGGUCUGGGAAAUCUCCUCAACUCGAACCAGAGGCAGAUUGCCCUUUGACAACAAAGGAAACAAACCAGAGAAAGAUGUGUACCUGCAGUGUUUUAGUACAGAAUUCCAAGAGUUCAUGCCAACAAGCUCGAGUUAUAACAUAUACACUGAAGCAAGAACAUUUAACAUUCUUCGUGGACUAAACAAUGCCCUUUCAAAAAGAUAAUGAUUAGCUAAAAUGCAACAAGGAAACAAAUAUGGUGGCGAAAAGAUGCCACCUGAAUUCUCAUGACUAAAGAAAGUAAUGCUCAAAUAAGGUUCAUCUCCUCAUCAAACUACAAUAUAUAAUCUCCUUUAACUUUUCUGCAGCUCAAAAAACAUUCGAAAAUUAAGAGUGGACCAUGGACAUAUAUUUGACAUAUGUUCAUGGCAACAAAUGCGGCUGCAGUCAUGAUUGAAAUUUCUUUAAUAUGUUUAUAUAGCUGUGGUAGUUAGCACCCAUAAAUUUGAAUUUUUGAUCACUAAUAUGUAUAAGCAUACUUCCAGUUCGCAACAAGGCUUUCAUUUAUCUUCCCUUUUCAUACUCGACUGUUUUAUCCCAUAAGCAAACUACGAUACUUUUUUAAAUUAAUAAAAGAAUUCGAUUGCUUAGAGCACAACAAAUUCAAAGAUGUAAUUACCAAAUAAAAAAUUGCUAGCUAGUGAAGCAAUUGGUCAUGUGAAUCAAUUCAUACUACAUAAUUCAACCAAAAAAAAUGAAAGAACUUACGCAAGAAUCCAUUUGCCGUUGAGAAGAGUCAAGGCUUCCGUAGGUGCUGGAUUAGGGUUCUUCGACUCAAGCUGAGUGAUGAGUUCAACGAUUUCCGCCCUAGUCUCACUGCUAGCACUCAAACCUCUAUUGGUUCCAUAUAAAGAAUCCGCCAAUUGCUUCUUCAGCAACUCAAUUUCACUUGGCUCCUUAGGUGGUUCUUCUUCCACAACCGCUACUCCACCCGGCCUUAUUUGCUCCACUUCCGGCCCCCACUCAUCUUCCUUGUCGUAAUUUGUGGCUUGAGCUGUGAAUUUUGGUUUUGGGUUUGUGAAUUCUUUGACUGAAAUUGAUCUGUGUUGUUCUGUUUUUGAUGGGAAAUUCGUGGAGGAGAUGGGUAAGGUUGAGAUUUUGGAUGUGGGUUUUGAAUAUUGGGAUGUAAUUUGGAGAGUUCUGCAAGGAAUUUGAUUGAGAGAAGAGAUGGAAGCCAUUUUUUAGAGUGAAAUAGAGAAAGAACAGAAUGCUAUUUUUUGUAAAUAUGAAAUGAAGAGAACAGGGGAAGCUCAAUUGAAUGAGAAUUACAAUACUGUAUGAUGCAUUUUAUACGAGCGUGUUGCCUUCGAUUAGCUGUGGUAAAAAGACAUACGUACCCUCUUGAAUUAGUUUAGUAUUUAUUAAUUUAAGACCACCAAUGUGCUGCAGACCAGAGUUAUUUAUUCCUUAACUAGAGAUCUAUGAAUGGAGUUCUAUAUAACGUGAAUUUAAAUUAGUCAGAUUUUAAUAUGGGUAUCGAAUAUCAUAUCAAAAAAUAAAAAUAUAUUUAUUAAUUUAAGAGAAUAAAUAAACAAAAAUGAAAACCUAUCAAUAUUUACUAUUUUUCUUGAUUUUUUAUAUAAUUAUUUUAUAAUAUUGACUACCUUGAAAAAAUAAAUAAUUCUAAAAUAUAUGAUAAUGGAGAAUUAAUAAUAACGGUUCUUUUUUCGUGUGCAUGAAAAAAAAAGAAUCCUAAAAUAUAUGAUUAAAAGAAAAUAAGAUUGGAUGAUGUAGUUAAUUAAUUGUUGAUUGAACUCUAUAACUAUAUUCAUAUAUAUGAUUAAUUGUUGAUUGAUCUUUAUAACUAAAACAUGUAGUUCAAUAAUUAUUGAUUGAUCUCUAUAACUAAAUUCAUGAGACUUCACGUACACGCAAAAACUAUAAACUAAAAACUUCAAUUUAUUCAUCUUACAGUAUUUUGUUUAGUCGGUUUCAAAAAUAUUAUUUUUUUACUUUUUCGAAAACUCUCAAAAUGUAUUAUUAUUAUUAUUAUUAUUAUUGUGUAUUGUUGAAUGUAUAUACAAAUUGACAUAGUCUAACCUGAAUAAGUUUGAAAUUAAGAAAAUUAAUUCAUUCCUUGAAUUUUUGCCAAUUAAGUGAAUAUAGUAUUAUAUGUAUUGUUUUAAAAAAAAAAAAGUAUUGUAACUUCAGUUGCAAAAUAUAUAUAAUUUUUUAUGCAAUCUUAUAUUGAGCAGCACACAUAAUGCACAUCCACUAAAUUAAUUAUAAACAAAUUGCAAUAAUAAAAAACACUAUAGUCGAGUUGACAAGAUGAACUAUAUUAACGUUAUAAUAGACUAAGUAAAUAUUUACAUAAUGUUCCGAAAGGCUACUCAUUUUCUUGUAAAUGUAUUUUGGAUCAGAUUUUAUGAAAAAUAAUUCUCUUUUAUAAUAAUAAAAUUUAAAAGCUUAAUUCAAUCACAAUUUUAAAAUGAAUUUUCUUUAACCCCAUUAAUAAUCAUUGUAAAGAAUAAUAUAAACAAUUACUUCAUUAUAUGCUAAACAUCUUGUUUUACAUAUUAUGAUCUGACAUUGAUUUGUUUUUUUCCACUCAUCUUUUAAUUGUUAUAAAUUCUUAAUGUGAAUUUUAAAGUAUUUUAUUUUAAUUAUAUUCUUAUUUUUCUCAACUAUGAUUCAAUUACAAAAGUUAUGAGGUAGGGGUAGUUUGGGGUUUCGAGAAAAUAUGGAGGAGGGAAUGAUAGCUAGACACGUAACGUAACUCUCCUCUUUCUAGAAUUUUCUAAAAAAAAUUUAUCCUUUCAUAUUUCUUUUAAUUCGCCUAUUUUUUAAUACCAAAAAGUAGGUCAUUUUAAGUGGUGGAGGAGAUUAAUUGCACACGAUAUUUUGGCUAGAGUAAUGUCCAAAAAUAUUAGUAAUAGUAUGAUGAUGAUUGAUGAGAUUAGGAUUUUAACAACGUAACCGAAUGUGAUUUGAUGAAGACGAGAUGUACACAAAUUUUAUCAACUCCUAAUAAAUUCUUGACUUAAAGAAAUUAAGAUUUUAAGCUAAUACUUAUAUAUUACUAUAACUUUGUAUUUACGAAUGACAAAAGAUAAUAAUUUUAAUAAAUAUUGUGUGUUUCUAAAAAAGACUUUCAAAUAUGAAUUAUCAUUUUAUUCUAAGUAACUUUAAAACACAAUUGGCGGAUGGAAAAACCAAUUUCUUUCUCUCCUGCAUGUUGUACUACCAUAAAAAAUAGUAUCACUAAUCACAAUACCUUAAAAUCCCAACUUGCAUUCAAUAAUAAAGCUUGAGAGAAUGACAAGUGGAGUAUUUUUUAGGAAAAGAAGGAUAUAAUAAUUUUUUUUGAGAGAGUACAUAUAGAUUUGUUAAGACAUAACUGAUGCACAACUCCAUAUCUACAUAGUGAUUGUAACAGAAAAAAAGUCACAAGACAAUUUUGUAACAUGUACACUCAACUUAGCACAAGACACAAUUUUAUAACAGGCAGUAAACUCAGUUGUAGUAAACUUUGCUCCACACUAUUUUGAAGAAUCAAACAUCUGCAAAUCAAUGAUGAAAUUUCUUAGAGGCAAGGAGAACAUGAGGAAGUUCGUUGUACUUGAUUCAAGCCCACUAUAAUAGGAAAAUAGUUGAGUUUUCUGCCUGAAAUUUUAAACAAUAAACACAUUAUUCAAAUCAAACAUAUACAUAAAAGAUAUAAGGUGUGAUAAAUCAAUAAACAUCAAACUAUAUAUGUUAUCUCAGAGAUUACCUUAACUUGUUGGCUCCCACGAUUACAUCAUAUACUUUAGGCUUCUUAUUAUUUGAAGAAAACGUGGUUCAUUAUAUUUCCCCACUGUAAGCAAAGAAUUUUUUUGCUGAAUUCCAACAAUAAGUGUUCUUUCCAUGGACCCUUUCUUAGUUCCAUUGCUUCUUUGAAGCUAAACUUGCAAAAUUAUGAAGGUGUUUGUAGAGACGUUUUGAGCCAUAUACAUUUACGAUGACUAUUUUAAUAAAUGGUCCUUGGUGCCCGUUCAAAUAUCACAAAAUAUAAAAAUUAUACAAUACAUUAUUGCAACAAUAGUAAUUAUUCAAACAUCAUAGGUUCUGAAAAUUAUAAUUCAUUAUUGCGUAAAGAUAACUUUAUAUGUUACAAUUGCAACAAUAGUAGGUCUUAACCCCAUGAUUUUAAUAUGUAAUGGUUCAAAGCUACUAAAUUUCAAAGGUUAGAACUCAUAAAAACUUAAAUUCUAGAUAUGUCUCUGACUGGGUCUUUGAAUUUACCAGGGUAUAUAUGUGAAUUGGACACCACCAAUGAAAGCAAACAUGAAAUAGGCUAAAUUAAACCGCUCAUUCAUGCAUUUUGUCAAACAAGUAAUAGGCAUUAGGCAACUUUUUACAAAUAGAACAUUGCGAGAUAAAAAUUCAUCCCAAAAAUUACCGCAUUCUACUAUAUAAGAAGCAUAUAUUUCAUCAUUAUACGUGGCACACAAUUGUAAAACUCUAUAGCUUCUUGAAAAUUAUGGAUGAAAAGGAAGGCUGAUAGUCUAGAGAAUAAUUUGAAGGUAUACCCAAGUUUUAACUCUUUUAUGUCAAAUUUAGUAUGUAAAGUAGCUGUCUUUAAAUUCUUAAAUAUAUGUUGCUGAUCUAUUUUGUAUUCUGUAGGAUAUGGAACCUGCUGUUUUUAGUUGAAAUUUUACAGAAACUAGUCAGAUUAUUGCAGUAAGCAAGCAUGUAAAGUUAGAAUUCGAAAUAUCUAUUUAAGGAAAAAACAACCUUAUCCGCUACACUGUAUGAGGUAAAUUAAAGACAUUAAUUGACACAAAAGCACAAUUGCUACAUAGAAUUAGCAAUUUAUAGCCCAACUUUAUUUAGCAAUUAAUAGUCCAAAAAAAUAAUAGCAUGUAUUAGCCCAAAAGUAAAUUAACAGUAUUUAUAGAUUAAUUUUUUUACCAUCGGGCAACCAAUUGGCAAUAAAUAGAAGACGUGGGUUUGUUUUUCUUCUGUGAUUUUCAUUCCUAUAACUAAGGAAGUUAGCAUUUCAGUUUCCUUAAAUUUCCAAACCCAACUCCAUUAUUAGUAUAUCUUAAAAAAAAAAAAACCAAUAACGUAGAGCAAAUAAAAGCAUCAAGAUAUAAAUGGCACCUUUGAUUGUUUUGAUUCAUUAUAAUGGAGAAUGAGAUAGUAAUAAUAAUUUUGUAGAUUGUUCUAUAGAAGCGGUGAUUAUCAUUUAUCAAUACGAAUAUUGAUUUCAAAUCCUCUAUUUGUUGAUACUUCUAUUAAUUCCUUUGAACUUAAUUAUAAAAUCGACGACUUUUCAUUGCUAUUGGUGUCAACAACACAAACACUUUAUAAUUUAUUGGUUACAAUCAUAUGAUUGUCUGAGAGGCUGUAUUUUAAUGAAUGCAAUAUUAUUGAGUGUGUUACUAAAACUGUACUCUAACAGAAUGUCAAGUUUACAAUAAUUUUUUCUCUCUAAUAUCUAUGAUAAAAAUAAUUAUUCUAUUCGAAUGAUAUUUCAAUUUAAAGUGAAAAGUUUAAAUACGUCAAGGUAUUAUCAAUUAAAAAAAACAAUUAUGUACACAUAAUGCAUCCUCUAAAAUAAAUGAUGUAUAUACUUACGUAACGAGUUUAUUAAAUAAUGUAUUCAAUCAGUUCAAUAUGCAUUCAUAAUGUUUCACUCAAAGAAUAUUUAUGAAUACAUUAUAAGUUUAUGUAUACAUUGUUGAUUGUGUAUACAUAAAAAUAUUGUGUAUUCAUUCAAUUAGUUUUUGUAUACAAUUAAACGUAUGGUUAAUUUCUGCUGCAAUGUAUACACAUUUAUGUAAACAUUCAAUAUGACUAAUUCGUGUAUUGAUUCAAUUAGUAGUUGUAUACAUUAAAUUGAAUUGAAUGACUUUAUACUAAUGUAUACACAAUCAUGUAUACAAUUAUUAUAUGUGUUAUAUUUUAUUAAUUCAAACCAAAUGGCAUUACUAAUGAAGCAUCUUCAAAUACUUUCUCUUGUAAAAAUUUAUAGAAUUGCAGUAAAUAAAAUUUUAUAAACAGAUUCUACAUUCAAGUUACACACUGUUUUGUACUUAUACCAAAAAAAAAAUAGAAUUAAGAUUUAUUUUUCCAAAAGAACUCAUGAGAUCCCUUUUAUCCAUGAAAAUAAAUAUAAAAAACCAACACAUCAUAAUCUCAAUUUUUGCCCAAUUAAAUUUGAAAUUUUCAAUUCCACAAUAAAAAAAUCCAUAUAGUUUUGAAUAU